This 265-nucleotide ribosomal RNA is filed under the name uncultured bacterium. RNAcentral's name for it is "partial 16S ribosomal RNA". It matches the Rfam family "Bacterial small subunit ribosomal RNA", at positions 524 to 786 of the family's 1533-position model. The record is from RNAcentral.
UACGUAGGAGGCGAGCGUUUGUCCGGAAUUACUGGGCGUAAAGCGUGCGCAGGCGGUUUGCUAAGAGAGAUGUGAAAUCCCCGGGCUUAACCUGGGAACUGCGUUUCUAACUGGCAGGCUUGAGUGGGGGAAGAGGGUCGUGGAAUUCCCAGUGUAGAGGUGAAAUUCGUAGAUAUUGGGGAAGAACACCGGUGGCGAAGGCGGCGACCUGGUCCGGGACUGACGCGAGGCGCGAAAGCGUGGGGAGCAAACGGAUUGAGAUACC